AGCUUUGCGCAGUGGCAGUAUCGUAGCCAAUGAGGUUUAUCCGAGGCGCGAUUAUUGCUAAUUGAAAACAAUUAUUUGUGUACCUAUCUUCUCUUUUCUUGGACUAGUCACAUCUUAUGUGUUCUAACAUGUAGGAAAGUGCAUGACAGAUGUUUAAUAAUUCUUGAUGGAG
This 172-nucleotide small nuclear RNA is filed under the name Canis lupus familiaris (dog). RNAcentral's name for it is "U4 spliceosomal RNA (ENSCAFG00030023875.1)". It matches the Rfam family "U4 spliceosomal RNA". Rfam says of the family: U4 small nuclear RNA (U4 snRNA) is a component of the major U2-dependent spliceosome. The structure of U4 snRNA from yeast and human has been reported. The record is from RNAcentral. Lineage: Eukaryota; Metazoa; Chordata; Mammalia; Carnivora; Canidae. RNAcentral also lists the same sequence under 1 other name.